RNAcentral lists this ribosomal RNA (433 nucleotides) under uncultured bacterium. Its description in RNAcentral is "partial 16S ribosomal RNA". It matches the Rfam family "Bacterial small subunit ribosomal RNA", at positions 29 to 507 of the family's 1533-position model. The record is from RNAcentral.
AACGAACGCUGGCGGCAUGCCUAACACAUGCAAUUCGAUCGAGACCUUCGGGUCUAGUGGCGCACGGGUGCGUAACGCGUGGGAACCUGCCCUUCGGUUCGUAAUAACUCCCCGAAAUGGGUGAUACUCCCGGAUACUGUCUUCGAACCAACGACUUAUCGCUUUUGGAUGGGCCCGCGUUGGAUUACCUAGUUGGUAGGGUACAAACCUACCAAGGCGACGAUCCAUAGCUGGUCUGAGAGGCUGGUCAGCCACACUGGGACUGAGACACGGCCCAGACUCCAACGGGAGGCAGCAGUGGGGAAUAUUGGACAAUGAGCGAAAGCCUGAUCCAGCAAUGCCGCGUGAGUGAUGAAGGCCUUAGGGUUGUAAAGCUCUUUUACCCGGGAUGAUAAUGACAGUACCGGGAGAAUAAGCUCCGGCUAGCUCCGUG